RNAcentral lists this ribosomal RNA (467 nucleotides) under uncultured bacterium. Its description in RNAcentral is "partial 16S ribosomal RNA". It matches the Rfam family "Bacterial small subunit ribosomal RNA", at positions 28 to 506 of the family's 1533-position model. The record is from RNAcentral.
GACGAACGCUGGCGGCGUGCUUAACACAUGCAAGUCGAACGGAAAGGCCCUGCUUUUGUGGGGUGCUCGAGUGGCGAACGGGUGAGUAACACGUGAGUAACCUGCCCUUGACUUUGGGAUAACUUCAGGAAACUGGGGCUAAUACCGGAUAGGAGCUCCUGCUGCAUGGUGGGGGUUGGAAAGUUUCGGCGGUUGGGGAUGGACUCGCGGCUUAUCAGCUUGUUGGUGGGGUAGUGGCUUACCAAGGCUUUGACGGGUAGCCGGCCUGAGAGGGUGACCGGCCACAUUGGGACUGAGAUACGGCCCAGACUCCUACGGGAGGCAGCAGGGGGGAAUAUUGCACAAUGGGCGGAAGCCUGAUGCAGCAACGCCGCGUGCGGGAUGACGGCCUUCGGGUUGUAAACCGCUUUCGCCUGUGACGAAGCGUGAGUGACGGGAAUGGGUAAAGAAGCACCGGCUAACUACGU